This 561-nucleotide long non-coding RNA is filed under the name Vitis vinifera (wine grape). RNAcentral describes it as "long non-coding RNA (VVIN_LNC002476)". Lineage: Eukaryota; Viridiplantae; Streptophyta; Magnoliopsida; Vitales; Vitaceae. The record is from RNAcentral.
AGGAAAAUGACGACGACGCUGAGGACAACGAGGAUGCCAAGGGUCUCGCGGUCGGAGAAAGUGCGGCCGAAGAGGACGAGAGGAGGAUCGGAGGGGCGGAAGAGGUAGAGGAAGAGCCAGGCGGCGAGGAGAGAAAGGAGGAGGAGGAGAGAGAAAGGGUUGGUGAGGAGAGAGAAGGCAAGGGUAAGGGCGAUGAGGGAGAGGUAGUUGACGCGGAAGUAGGUGUAGUUCUUGCGUACGCGAAGGGCGGCCUCGGAGAAGGACUCGGGGCGGGAGAAAGCGUUGCGGUCGACGAGCUCGGACCAGGGGCGGCGCUGAGCGAAGCCGUUGCGGACGGAAUCGGUGAUGUGGGUGAUAAAUAAGCGGACAGCGGGUGUGGCGACCGGAGGCUGCGAUUGAACGGAUGUGGCGGUGGUUUCUGGGUUGGAAAUGGGGAGAAUUGGAGGAGACGAAGUCGCCAUCGAUGGGGGUUUUGGAGGUCGACGAUUUGUGUUAGGCAAGACUGGAUUUGAGGGGGGUGGGUGGCAGAUCUUUGGGGAUAUAUCUAUAGCGUGGAUGUAG